AUUGAACGCUGGCGGCAGGCCUAACACAUGCAAGUCGAGCGGAGAGGCGGACGGGGGAGUACUGCCUAGGAAUCUGCACGGUAGUGGGGGAUAAAGUCCGGAAACGGGCGCCAAUACCGCAUAAUAUCAGAUGAGCCUAGGUUGGAUUAGCUAGUUGGUGGGGUAAAGGCUUACCAAGGCGACGAUCCGUAACUGGUCUGAGAGGAUGAUCAGUCACACUGGAACUGAGACACGGUCCAGACUCCUACGGGAGGCAGCAGUGGGGAAUCUUGGGCAAUGGGCGAAAGCCUGAUCCAGCCAUGCCGCGUGUGUGAAGAAGGUCUUCGGAUUGUAAAGCACUUUAAGUUGGGAGGCGUUACCAACAGAAUAAGCACCGGCUAACUUCGUGCCAGCAGCCGCGGUAAUUC
Molecule: ribosomal RNA, 407 nt
Filed under: uncultured bacterium
Lineage: Bacteria
Description: partial 16S ribosomal RNA
Rfam family: Bacterial small subunit ribosomal RNA
Source: RNAcentral